This 524-nucleotide ribosomal RNA is filed under the name uncultured bacterium. RNAcentral's name for it is "partial 16S ribosomal RNA". It matches the Rfam family "Bacterial small subunit ribosomal RNA", at positions 28 to 523 of the family's 1533-position model. The record is from RNAcentral.
GGCGAACGCUGGCGGCGUGCCUAAUACAUGCAAGCCGAGCGCAGGAAACUGACGGAACUCUUCGGAGGGAAGGCAGUGGAAUGAGCGGCGGACGGGUGAGUAACACGUAAGGAACCUGCCUCAAGGAUUGGGAUAACUCCGAGAAAUCGGAGCUAAUACCGGAUAGUUCAACGGACCGCAUGGUCCGCUGAUGAAAGGCGCUCCGGCGUCACCUUGAGAUGGCCUUGCGGUGCAUUAGCUAGUUGGUGGGGUAACGGCCCACCAAGGGGACGCGGCCUAGCCGACGUGAGAGGGUGAUCGGCCACCCUGUGACUGAGAGACGGCCCAGACGCCUACGGGAGGCAGCAGUAGGGAAUCUUCCACAAUGGACGAAAGUCUGGUGGAGCAACGCCGCGUGAGUGAUGAAGGUUUUCGGAUCGUAAAACUCUGUUGUAAGGGAAGAACACGUACGAGAGGAAAUGCUCGUACCUUGACGGUACCUUACGAGAAAGCCACGGCUAACUACGUGCCAGCCGCCGCGGUAA